UAAUUCUACAUGUGGGGAAGGAUGAGAAGCUUCGACUGGGUUCGAUUCGGCGCAGCGAGCGUUGCCGCAGGCAGCGACAGCGAAGAGCGGCGCGCAGCGCUGAGUCAUCCUUCCCCCACCACCG
This 124-nucleotide small RNA is filed under the name Salmonella enterica subsp. enterica. RNAcentral describes it as "RtT sRNA". It matches the Rfam family "RtT RNA". Rfam says of the family: This family represents a bacterial cis-regulatory element known as RtT RNA. The record is from RNAcentral. Lineage: Bacteria; Pseudomonadati; Pseudomonadota; Gammaproteobacteria; Enterobacterales; Enterobacteriaceae.